GAAGUCCAAAGCCAAGCCCAAUGGCAAGAAGCCUGCUGCGGAGGAGAGGAAAGCCUACCUGGAGCCUGAGCACACCAAGGCCAGGAUCACCGACUUCCAGUUCAAGGAGCUGGUGGUGCUGCCCCGCGAGAUUGACCUUAACGAGUGGCUGGCCAGCAACAGUGCGCGGGGGCCUGGGGGCGGGCCCCUUCCCUCCUCCCUGCUCCUCCUCGAAGCCCCUCCUCAAGGAGGACCCCCAUGGCUGGUGCUCAGCAGCCCCCUGCCGCGAGGGGAGAGUGUGGCCCGUGGACAGGCGGAGCUCACCCAGCCGAGCUCCUGCACCUGUUGCUGGAAGCAGGGGUGGACGGGGUGGCUCGGCUCUGGUGUUUUUCACAUCUGGCUCCUUUUCUCUUCUAGCCACGACGUUUUUCCACCACAUCAACCUGCAGUAUAGCACCAUUUCGGAGUUCUGCACAGGAGAGACGUGUCAGACAAUGGCCGUGUGCAACACACAGUACUACUGGUAUGACGAGCGGGGGAAGAAGGUCAAGUGCACAGCCCCGCAGUACGUUGACUUUGUCAUGAGCUCCGUGCAGAAGCUGGUGACGGAUGAGGACGUGUUCCCC
RNAcentral lists this small RNA (605 nucleotides) under Pongo abelii (Sumatran orangutan). RNAcentral describes it as "retained intron". The record is from RNAcentral. Lineage: Eukaryota; Metazoa; Chordata; Mammalia; Primates; Hominidae.